This is a long non-coding RNA of Condylostylus longicornis, 1215 nucleotides long. RefSeq lists it as uncharacterized. NCBI's taxonomy places the organism in Eukaryota, Metazoa, Arthropoda, Insecta, Diptera, Dolichopodidae. The record is from RefSeq and is a predicted model, not a curated record. The transcript is spliced from 5 exons.
CGUUCGAUGCUGGAAGGAGCAUUCACAAUAGUGAACAAGUGAGAAUAUAUCCCUUUGUUUACAUAGUAGAAGAGUACACAAUACAAAAACCAAUAAAUAGGUUAUAAAGUCAUAGACGAGUAUUCCGAAAAAAUGGAAAUCAAAAUCUACAAUAUCAAGAAUAUUAAUUAUACUUUUAUAUUUCGAUAGUAAAACACUUGGAAGAAAAGAAACUUGUCCGACAUGGGAGAAUGUUAUUCAUCAGUCAACUCCAUUGCAAUAUACGCUCUUAUCGAACUAUGUAUGUAAGACAUUGUAUAUGAACGAAUAUCGAAUUUACAAGAAAAUGCGUUCAUAUAGUAUUUAUUGGAGCAAUGAAGGUUUUUGAAGUGUUAUUCUCUUAAAGAAAUUAUUACCAAAAAAAAAUAUUUAAAUGGUAUAGAAAAAACGUUAGAGAGGAAUUUGGAAAAAUAAAAAUAUGUACAGCAUUUUAAUUGUACAGGAAUUAAUUUAAUAAAUUAAAUGUACCAAAAUAUUUGAUUUAUGGAAGAAAUUUUUGAAAAUAAUAAGAAAGAAUUCCAAGAACUAAAACGAGAAGAGCAACAAUACGAAAAAUGAGGAAAAUACAUUAAAAACGAAUAAGUAACAAGCAUUAUUUCAUAUUUUAUUGUAAGGAAGAAUUUUCGAGCUGGAGAAAUGAUGUUUUUGCGCAAAAAAGCAAUGUUUUACUCGGUUAUUUCUGUAGAAAUGGUAUAUUUUGACCUUUAUCGCUGUUGCAUCAAAUGAGGGCUUUAUUGCGUAGAUAUUGUUCUAAAACAAUCCUUUUCCAACAAUCCUUUGAACACAAUUAAUAAAUGGGAGAACAAAAUUGGUUUUCUUUCAAGUAAAAAUAUUGUAAAUUUUUGCUCUAUGACAUAUUAUUUGCCAAUUGUCUUAUAUGAAACCAAGAUGCGCAAAAAUUAAAUUUCUUUUCUGGAAGCUUUAAGAAUAAUAUAAAGACCGAGUUGCAGCGAAUGAUCUGGAAUCUUUGCAACUUUAAUUGUUUAGGCUUACAACAUUUUCUUUUAAAUUUAAAUUAAUUUUAUAUUAAAAGAAAUAACAGAAUUUAAAGCAGCAAAUAAAGCAUUUGCAGUAUUUGUAAUAGUAGAACAACUCGGUCAAGGAGAAUUAUCAGAAUCCGAACCACCAAAUGAAUGCAUUGGAAAUAAUGGGUACCAACCGCUAAUAUGUUGUGCC